GGGUUGUGAGGUUAAGCGACUAAGCGUACACGGUGGAUGCCCUGGCAGUCAGAGGCGAUGAAGGACGUGCUAAUCUGCGAUAAGCGUCGGUAAGGUGAUAUGAACCGUUAUAACCGGCGAUUUCCGAAUGGGGAAACCCAGUGUGAUUCGUCACACUAUCAUUAACUGAAUCCAUAGGUUAAUGAGGCGAACCGGGGGAACUGAAACAUCUAAGUACCCCGAGGAAAAGAAAUCAACCGAGAUUCCCCCAGUAGCGGCGAGCGAACGGGGAGCAGCCCAGAGCCUGAAUCAGUGUGUGUGUUAGUGGAAGCG
Molecule: ribosomal RNA, 312 nt
Filed under: Escherichia coli
Lineage: Bacteria; Pseudomonadati; Pseudomonadota; Gammaproteobacteria; Enterobacterales; Enterobacteriaceae
Description: partial 23S ribosomal RNA
Rfam family: Bacterial large subunit ribosomal RNA
Source: RNAcentral